GACGAACGCUGGCGGCGUGCUUAACACAUGCAAGUCGAACGGAAAGGCCCUGCUUUUGUGGGGUGCUCGAGUGGCGAACGGGUGAGUAACACGUGAGUAACCUGCCCUUGACUUUGGGAUAACUUCAGGAAACUGGGGCUAAUACCGGAUAGGAGCUCCUGCUGCAUGGUGGGGGUUGGAAAGUUUCGGCGGUUGGGGAUGGACUCGCGGCUUAUCAGCUUGUUGGUGGGGUAGUGGCUUACCAAGGCUUUGACGGGUAGCCGGCCUGAGAGGGUGACCGGCCACAUUGGGACUGAGAUACGGCCCAGACUCCUACGGGAGGCAGCAGUGGGGAAUAUUGCGCAAUGGGCGGAAGCCUGAUGCAGCAGCGCCGCGUGCGGGAUGACGGCCUUCGGGUUGUAAACCGCUUUCGCCUGUGACGAAGCGUGAGUGACGGUAAUGGGUAAGGAAGCACCGGCUAACUACGUG
Molecule: ribosomal RNA, 468 nt
Filed under: uncultured bacterium
Lineage: Bacteria
Description: partial 16S ribosomal RNA
Rfam family: Bacterial small subunit ribosomal RNA
Source: RNAcentral